GACGAACGCUGGCGGCGUGCUUAACACAUGCAAGUCGAACGGAAAGGCCCUGCUUGCAGGGUGCUCGAGUGGCGAACGGGUGAGUAACACGUGUGUGAUCUGCCCCUUACUUUGGGAUAAGCCUGGGAAACUGGGUCUAAUACUGGAUAGGACCAUGCUGUAGGUGGUGUGGUGGAAAGAUUAGUUUCGGUAAGGGAUGAGCUCGCGGCCUAUCAGCUUGUUGGUGGGGUAAUGGCCUACCAAGGCGUCGACGGGUAGCCGGCCUGAGAGGGUGGACGGCCACAUUGGGACUGAGAUACGGCCCAGACUCCUACGGGAGGCAGCAGUGGGGAAUAUUGCACAAUGGGCGCAAGCCUGAUGCAGCGACGCCGCGUGGGGGAUGACGGCCUUCGGGUUGUAAACUCCUUUCAGCCAUGACGAAGCCCUUGUGGUGACGGUAGUGGUAGAAGAAGCACCGGCUAACUACGUG
RNAcentral lists this ribosomal RNA (469 nucleotides) under uncultured bacterium. RNAcentral describes it as "partial 16S ribosomal RNA". It matches the Rfam family "Bacterial small subunit ribosomal RNA", at positions 28 to 507 of the family's 1533-position model. The record is from RNAcentral.